Molecule: long non-coding RNA, 20602 nt
Filed under: Citrus sinensis (sweet orange)
Lineage: Eukaryota; Viridiplantae; Streptophyta; Magnoliopsida; Sapindales; Rutaceae
Description: long non-coding RNA (CSIN_LNC001895)
Source: RNAcentral
UUUUCUCAAAGGUUUUGACUCCUGGGAUGGUGUUCUUAAUUCCCAGAGCACUGAUUCACUUCCAGCUAAAUGUUGGAAAGGGGCCGGCCACCUUUAUACCUAUUUUCAAUACUCAAAAUCCUGGCGUUUCGGACUCACUCACUACUCUUUUUGAUACAACACCCCCAAUUCCCAAUGAAGUGCUGACCAAAUCGUUUCGAGUAAGUGAUGAUGUGAUAAAUGCCAUCAGAAAAGCCCGGGCAUCAAACUAGUAAUCGAUCCGGCUAGGUUAACAUCCUGGAUGCUUGAUCAAUAUGCUUUAGUGUGCCAACAUAUAUAUACUAAUAAAUGGGAUUUAUUUUAUGUUACAAUUAUUGAUUAAAGAAUAAAGUCGAGACGACCAAUAGUUAUUGAAUAAGGAAAGUGUGAUUUUUUUUUCUCAUUUCUUCUUCUUUUACUUUUUUAUUUUUCCAUGGCAUUAUCUGAGCAAUUUGUUGCUUCCAUCGGCCUCGUUCAUUGGUAUUUCCUUGUAGGCUUCAAAUAAUCUUUUAUAAUCCGAAAUUUCAUUCCUGUAAUUUCAGCCUCUCAAUAUCCAUUAAUGGUACCCGUGCAAUAAUUAUUGAAUAAAAAAUGUCUAAUACUUAUUAAUUUUUUUGUCUUGUUAAUUUUUUUUCAUGGGUCAUUCUAUUUGAUACCGCGAUAAAAUAAUUCGAUAAAUAUGUCAAAAAUAAAAUUACCAGUUAAAUAGAAAACAUACUGAAAUCAAACCCGUUCAUUGCUUUAUUAUUUUUUUGUUCUCCCUAUUCAACCGAACCAAUUGAAAGUGAUAGUGACGAUUACGUGGAAUAUUUGGGGGGCACGAAAUAAGCUAUUAUUCAGAAGGCAAUUUAGUUCACCACAAGCCAUCUAUGCACGGGCUCAAAGAAUUUUCGAAUCUUUUGGGAGUUGUGGUGUGGCUAUUCUUGAUUCUAAUUUGAGUAGUGUCGUGUGUGGGGAUGAUAGUGUUGUGCGGUAGUUGCCACUAGUAGGUUGGGUGAAAUUAAGUGUAGACGCAGCAGUUGAUCUAGCUCGGGGUGCAGUGGGUUACGGCGCCGUUGUGCCAAAUCAUGAAGGUUUGGUGAUGGCUACGGGAACUUUUCAUGUGGUUUUUUCUGAUGAGGUUGAUAUCACAGAGGCAGAAUCCUUGCGCUUUGGUUUACAGUUCGCUAGUGCAGCUGGUUUAUUUUGUUAACAGUUGCAGUCAAAUUUGCUUCAAGUCAUAGAACUAUUUUAAAUCUUUUCGGAGGUUCUUUGAAUUAUUUCUGAGCUGAAGCAAUUGCAAUUACCAAAGCAAAUGCAUUAGCUAAAUGUUCUAUGUAGUUUUUUAUUCUUAUAUUUGGUGGGAAGAUUUUCCACCACAUUUAAAUUGCUAACUUGAGUGUAUUAUGAUUCUGAUUCUAAUAAAGUUUUUAUCUCACCAACCCAAAAAAAAAAUUGAAAUAAUAAAAAUAAUGAAUAACUUAUUUAAGCCCCCGUUUGGUAUAACUUUUCAAGUAGAGCUUAUUUGAGUAGAGUUUUUAUUAAAAAAAAUUUAGUUGUUUAAUUGUCAAUUAAAGUUUUUAUUAAAAAUUUAUUAAAUUACUUUAAUAGAAAAGUUUUUUAAAGUUAUGUCAUGAAAAAAAUAAAAUAAGAUUGUAAAAUAAGUAAAGGAGAUUUUAGAUAUUUUCUCUUAAAACUCGAAAUUUGAGCUUUUGUUAAUAGAGGUAAAAUAGAUUAUUUAAACUUCAAAAGUUCUAUUAGAAAAACAACCAAACAACACCAAAAAUUAUUAUAAGAGCUUAUGAGAUUAAAUAAGCACUUAUGGUCAUUGAAUAAGUCAUACCAAAUAAUCGCAUAGUACUUAUUUAUUAUUGAUUGUAAUUUUUUUUUUUAUAAGAGCUUAUGAGAUUAAAUAAGUGCUUAUGGCUCUUAAAUAAGCCAUACCAAACAGGCACUAAGUCAUACCAAAUAAUCACAUAGUACUUAUUUAUUAUUGAUUGUAAUUUUUUUAAAAAAAAUAAAUUUUAGUUUCUAAAAUUAGAUUUUAAUUUUUAUAUUCUAUUUUUGCAUUUAUAACGUACUUUUUUUUUUCCAUGUAUGUAUGUGAUAAAAGUACUCUGAAUUUAUUACGAUACAUUCCUCAUUCUUGAAAACGUACUAGUUCGCUAAAGCUUACAAAGGAAAGAAAUUGGUAUCAACCUUUUAGGAACCUUAAAAUUUUUAUAAACUCAUUAUCCUUUAUCUCUAAUUUGAGUUGAAAAACAAAUUAAAUCGUUUUUCUAUAUUCAUUUUGGUUUUGUAGUUGCACUUUAUUUUAUCCGUAGAACAUGGAUGAAGGAAUCAUAUCAUGAACUCCAAAUUUACCACAACAAUUGAUGCUCUUGUAACCCAUUCCCAAUUUAUUUGAUGCUCUUUUAACUCAAUUUAUUUGAUUAAAAAAAUUAUUAUUUUUAUUUAAAUUAUUUUUAAAAAAUUACGAUUAGUAAACAUUAUUAACUUUUUUAUUAUAGCUAGAUCUUUUUUACUUUCCAACAAUACCAAACAAAGCCUUCCACGGGCAUACAUUGUAGCUGAAACAUCACAAAAUCUUAUUCCAUAAUUUUUACGAGCAAGCUUUGUUUUAAAUGGCCGAGGAGCAACUGGGGUUCGUCCUGGUGCCCAUAGCUUUCGAAGUAACUCACCAAAUGCUACAGCUAGUUCACCCUAUAUAAGACCACUUCAACUCAGUAUUAUAACAAGACAACAAUCAUACACUCAUGAAAAAUCAUCAAGAGUGGAUGGACUUCUUAAAAUAAAUAGAUUUGAACAGAAAAAUAUUUUAUACAUAUCAACAAAUCAUUAAAGAUACAUAAAUUUAUGUCUGAAGAUUAUAUUUGGCUUUUUUUUUUUUCAUUUUAUGUAAAUUUGGGUGUUCCAAAAAUGAAACAAAAAUGUGUUUAGACAACAUAAGCUUAUGUAUAUAUUUUGGUAGUUACACAAUGAAACUCACAGUACUCCUAGUGAUAAAGUUUACUAACACCUAAUAACUUUUUUGUGAAGUUGAUUAUUUUAUAAGCACACGAAAUCUCUGUCCCUUAGCGUCUCUCCUAGAUAGUUGUGUGGAUGAGUUUUGAUGACUACGGUGGCGUUUGUUUUUUUAUCUGAAAUCUGAAUAGACCUGAAUUAGUCUGAAUUCUGAAUAGAUCUGAAUGUCUGAAUCUGAAUAAUAUGUUUGUUUUUUCGUCUGAAUCUCAAAAAAUAAGUAUUAAGUUGUUUGUUUUUUUCAACUAAAAAAGCUGAAAAUAUGUACUUUUACAUUUGUAUCCUUAUUAAAUUUGAAUGUCAAAUAAAUAAUAUAUUAAAUACCACAAUAUUUUAACAUUUAUAAGUAAAACUAUAUUUAAGUGAAUACAUAAUUAUUUUGGAAUUUUAAUAUAUAAAAUAUCAUAAAUUUCAAAUUUUAUCGUAUAUAAUAUAAGAAAGAAAAAACAGAGAUAUUUUUAUGUGGGGUAAAUGUCUAUGGGUGAGUUUUGGGAUAGACAUGAAAAAUAAAUUAUAAAACAUGGAUAUUUUUGACAUUAGUAAGUAAUUGACUUAAUUUAAAUUUUUUCAUUAAGUAAAAAGCCAAAAAAAUUGCCUUAUUUCAUUAAGUCAAAAUUAUCUAAAAAGUCUCAUUAAGUUAUAAAAACAAACACCUCUAAUUAACUUAAUUAAUUAAGUUAAGUCACUUUAAGUCAUUAAGUUAAAAAACAAACGCCACCUACAUUUUGUUCUUCUACUUUGAUAAAAAUGAUUCCGUCUUCUUCUCGUCCAACUUAGUUAAUCUAACAAAUUACUAAAGAGGAUGCAACUUUGACACUGAAUUUCAAUACCAAACAUAUAUUCUCUCUUCAACAGAAUCAUUAAGGCAUUUCAAACGCUUGGCAAGCAAGGCUAGCUUGUGCUAACAAAGAUACAUUUUGGAAUAGCUUCAAGAUAUUAAUAUUCUGUUACAUGAAUUAAAUUUGGUGUUAUGUUGAUGAUUGAGAAUAGAAGGAACUCGCGCCGAUUUGUAAUGUAUUCACGAAAUGUUGCUUGCACGUCUCAAUAAAUCCAUUUUUUAAAAAAAUAUAUAUAUAUGAAUUGAUUUAUAGUUGGUGCAACAGGUUAUGCAGUCAAUGAAUACAUAUGUUAUUCACGUUCGCAAGCAUUAGAUUAACUUUGUUAAUGACUCUGGAAUGUAUUAAGAAAUCUAAAAUUGUUUGAUGAUAUACGUUUAUCUAAAAGGAAUUAAGGAAAGGGUCAAGUUUGGCGGUUGAAUAGCUCGGGAUCAACGGCCAUGUCAAAGUUAAUUAAUAAACCCAAGCAUAUUCUGCUGAUCAUAAUUAAUGGAAGGGAUCGAUUGGCUAUCACACUACUCCGCAGUUGACAUUGAAGUUUGUCAUUGAAGUAUGUCUUCUUCAAACAUUCCCGCGGAAGGUUGCGUGUCAAUAUUUGACCACUAUGAAAUUACCGCGUAUUCAUUGACUACUUCACAUCUCAUUAUUGAAUGUUGUAGGAUGGUUGCAUAGGAUGAGUAGAGUAUUUUCCGGAGGUCAUAAUUUAGUUACAUGUGUCUAUUUUGGGGGUCAUAAUUUAGAUAUUUUAUUUCUUUUAUGAUUGUUUUGCCCUUUGAAGUUGUUUUCUUAUUUUUCCUGUUACUUCCAAAAUUUUAUUUUUAUUUUUUUUUAGAUGUCGGAUUUAGGCGUUGUUUGUUUUGUUGUCCUUAUUUAGAUUAUAAGAAUUUUAUUAUAAAAUAAUAUUUUAGAUUUACCUAUUUUAGUAAAUUCGCGAUAUUUAGAGUUAUUAUCAAAGGGCCCCAAAACCCCUAAUUUUGUCCAUUCACACUUUUGCAAUAAAAUUUUCAUUAUUUAGAAACCUAGUUUCUUUUUCAAUCCAACUUGUAUGCAUCAUCAACUUAAGUUUUAAAUUGCUUUUGAUUCAUCUAAAGAAGUUAAAAUUUCCCAAAAUCUUCUGUCUCAUAACUUUUAUGGGCCAAAAAAAUCAAAUUAGAAAUUCGAUCACAUUCCCCACCUUGUUGAUUAUAAAAGGAUAGAGAUUAUAAAAUUAAUUUAAAUCUUGCUCACUCUCUACUUCUCAUAAAAAUAAAAUAUAAAAACUACAAAAAUUAAUUGAUAAAAAAUUAUUUUUUUCCCCUUGGCAUAAAAAGGUUGCAUAUUGCUCAGAUAACUAUUAGUUUGAACGCACAAAGAUUCAAGGGUGGAGAUUUUUUUACUUUCCAAUCCAAUGGACAGAACCCUCUAUUGUAGAAAUUUCCAUUUUCUCAUAGCAUACCGAUGAACUGACAGUGGAGAUCCUAGAAACUAAUAAGCAAGCAAGAGAAGACAAACAGAAAAGUGAAAAAAAAAAAAAAAAUCUCCUUUGAUCAUGCAUGUUAUUUGAUCAUGGCCAUUCUUAUAAUAUAAUUACAACAAAAUAAUUCUAAUAUGAAUACGAGUAAAAAGCUUUACGAGCCUGAUCACUGUAUCGAGGACAAGAAUAUUGACUUCUCGAGUGAAAGUCACACGCCAUCUAGGCACUCUUAAGGUACAUUUAAGAUUUAGGUUGGUAAAUUGUAACUUAAAAGUUGCAACACUAAAGUAUUUGGUAAACACUAACUGCUAUAACUUGUAAGCUAUGUUGAUAUGAUUUUUCACUUGUAUAAUAAAAAUUAUUAUAUCUUUAAUAAUUUUGUCAAAAUUAUUAUGUAAAAUUUAUAUUUACUAUAUAUUAUUAAGUUUUGUUUGAUAGUUAUAGUUGUUUUCUACAGCAGCAGUAGCUUAAAAGGUACAACACAUCAAUCCUAAAUGAACCUUAGCAUCAUAGUUGUGCAGCUGUAGCUUCGGUUAUAGUACUUGUGUUUGGUUUGAAGAAAUGAAAGAAAAUAAGAUGAGAGAAAAGGAGGAGAGGGUAAAUAAAUAAGGAGAAAAAAAAGAUGAAUUUUGUGUCAAAAUAAACAAUAAAAUUGAGAUUGAUUUUUUUUCUAACCUCAUUUCCUCUUGAGCAUAUAUGUUGGACUUAUAAAUUUAUGUUUGGAUGUAAAUUGUUUGAUAAAUUCCUAUUGUUGUGGUUUGGAAAUUAGGUUAAUUUGAUUUAACAUUUAUAUAAUAAAUCACUUACAGUAUCUUUAUUAUAUUUUUAUCGAAACUUUUAUUUAAAAGUUAUAUUUAUUAUAUACUAAUAACUUUUAUUUCAUGAUGAUAGAUGCAGCACUUCAAAACCAAAAUAAGACCAUAUAUUUUUAUAACUUCUCUUAUCAGAAUAUGAAUGUUGCUUGCACGCAUUAACAAUUCCACUAGUUGCCGGUUCAUAAUUAUCACGUCAACUCUUAAAAAAAGGGCGCACUGCCGGUUCAUAAUUAUCUGCACAAAGUACAUUAUUCUAGCAUUAAAUUUUAAAUAUCUUUCAGUGCCUUUAAAAAUUAAACAUUCAAACUACGUAGUUAUAUUGUCAGAAAGCCAAAACAAUGAGACGUUCUUUUUGGUUCAUUAUCUUUCCCGGUUGCAAAGGCCAGGUUACGUAACAAUUUAAAUAAUCUGUACGCGCUAUCCGAAUUCAGAAAGUCAACAAACCUCAUCGAUCUGCCAAUUCUUUGGCAUUAAUAUUUUACUUAAUUCAAAGUAAUGUUAAUCACGCUUUCAGGCUCCAAGGAUUAAUAUAAAUAGAUCCAUCAUCUUCCUUUAAAUCAACAACUAAAGACUACUUGCAGCCAUUAAUUGUGUAAAUUUAGAUUUUAAUCACAACCAUGAUUUCUUCUUCAUCAACGUCACUCAUUGGGCUGCUAUGCUGCCUGAUAGUGUUAUUGAUUCUCCCUUUCCCUUCCCAUGCAAGUGACCCUGAUCCUUUACAAGACAUCUGUGUUGCGGAUUUGAAUGCUUCCGGCUCUAUUAAUGGUUUCCCCUGCAAACCUGAGUCAGAAGUAACUUCUGAUGAUUUCUUCACGGAUUUUUCCAAAGAAGCAGCUACUUUUGAUGUCUUUAAACGUGGAGCUACACUCGGUGAUGUUUUUGGCUUUCCAGUGGUCAAUACUCAAGGAGUUUCACUCUUCCGAAUUGACCUGCAUGUAGGUGGAAUAAACCCGCCUCAUACACAUCCUCGUGGAACUGAGGCUGGUAUUGUUACUCGAGGAAAGGUGCUUGUUGGAUUAGUAACAACUAAUAAUACCUUUUUUCUCAAAGGUUUUGACUCCCGGGAUGGUGUUCUUAAUUCCCAGAGCGCUGAUUCACUUCCAGCUGAAUGUUGGAAAGGGGCCGGCCACCUUUAUACCUAUUUUCAAUACUCAAAAUCCUGGCGUUUCGGACUCACUCACUACUCUUUUUGAUACAACACCCCCAAUUCCCAAUAAAGUGUUGACGAAAUCUUUCCGAGUCAGUAAUGAUGUGAUCAACACCAUCAGAGCGGCCCGGGCAUCAAACUAGUAAUCGAUCCGGCUAGGUUAACAUUCUCGACACCUGAUGAUACCCAUUAUAAUGUCUCAGAACUAAUGAAUAAGAUUUAUUUUAUGUAAUAAUUGUUGAAUAAAGAAAAGAUGGUGGCGAUUUGCAUGCUAAAUGUACCUCGAAUUCCAUAUUAUGAUAAAGUUUUUUUUUUCCCCCUAAAUUUCUUUUUGUUCAAAUCAUAUGUUGAAUCAUGAACGUGUAAGUUAGUAUUAGGAUAAUUUAAUUGAACUAAAUAAAAUACAUGUUACUCUUGACACCAUCUAGCACAAUUAUUCAAAAUCCUAUUUGUUUUCAACCAAAAAACUUUUCUCCUCAACAUAACCCAUCUAGUAUAGUUUUCUGGUCCAGAAUCUUAAAGUGCAGGAAAAGUCCGGAAUAACUUUAAAACUGCAGGGUUUUAAAGGCUUACAACUUGAAACACUUAAACCGCACAGUUUAUCCGUUUUUCCGGACAUUCUCGCACUUUAAAAUUCUAAAUUGGAACAUAAAUAAAUGUUUCAAUUCAGGAUCUUAAAGUGCGGGAAAAACCACAUGGUUUUAAAGGCUUAAAAUUGUAGGCCUUUAAAACUAUGCGGUUUUAAAACUUUCCCGCACUUUAAAAUUAUGAACUAGAAAACUACUAUAUCUAUAUAAUAUCAUAUAUCAUAUAAUAUAAUAUCAUAUCAUAUAAAUAUUAAUAGGAAAAUUAUUUGGGAGGCAGCAAGAUGCAGAAUUACAUGUAACCACUAAUGAUUAAAUCCAAAUUACCUCUUAUUUGUAACUUCUAUCAAUAAACCACCUUUUGUUGAAUUUGAAUAAAAGAUGUUAAAAAAUCUUUAUUAAAAUAUCCAUUUUCCCUUGAUAUUGUUUAAAAAUGUUAAAAAAAAACAUUAUUACCCAUUGAAGCAAGUUUGCAACUGCAAAAAUUAAAAACAGCAGUUGCUUAUGCCAAAAAAUAAAAAAUCAGAAAAGAAAAGGCAUGCUCCCGGUUAGGUAGAGAUUUUUGUUGUGACAAUUCUUUAUUAAAUGAUUAACUCAAAACUUAUUGGCUCUUGUCAUACAAUUAUUCUACUAGUUUCAGCAUACGAGAAGCAUUAGAUCUUAUUGCUUCUCUAUUAAUUAAUACUUGGUGCGUCAGGUAAUGGGAUGAAAGAAAUUAAAUUUUUUUUUUUGGCUGAAGCUUCCAAUUAUCGGAGAUGGCUCAUGGCUGCUAGCCGAACAAUAACCUUCAGCUCUAGGAAUGAGUUGGAACCAUCCGUAAGACACACAAGAUGAGAUACGUUGCCAAAACCCAUAGUUUCCUGAAGAUAGCCUUCAAUUAAUGGAUUGAAUAAUAAUCUAUCAUCAUGAAUUUUAAUAACUCUGGUGAUAAAAUCUCAGUAAGCUACUAGCUAGCUGAAAAUGGGUUCAAAAUUCCACGACCUUGAAAUUACAAGGUACUGAAACCUCAUUGAAGAUUUCAGAGUUUGUUGUAAACUGUACUUUCAAUGCAAAGAUCAGGGCAUUGGAAGGCAAGUGUUUCUAAUCUAUCCUAUUAUUGUGGACAGGGUCUACUUCUAGCGUAAGAAACGGUCUCCCUAGAACUGGGAUAGAGUCUCAUAAGUAUGUGUACCUUAAUUUAAAUAUAUAUAUAUAUAUAUAUUUUACGGAUGUAAGUCUAGAGAAAUAAGAAUAGACGACUCUUCAAUUAACGAAAUUAAAAGAUUUUGUCAUUUAGAUUUCAUGGACCAAAAAUCAAAUCAAAAUUUGAGAAUAUUAUGCAGCUUAUUGAUUUCUCACUCGGCUGUAAUGCUAGGACUGAAUGAGGAAUCUUAUUUAUCCAGUCAUAAAUGUUCCGUGAGAAUUGAUGAAUUGGAUAAUUAAUCAUCAUUAACAAACUAGUUCCCUCAUCCCUGAGAAUCUAUGGAUUGGAUAAUUAAUCGUCAUCAACAAGCUGGCUACUAGGUAAAGGUUUACGGAUUCAUUUUUCGUUGACUUUGAAAUCACUAAGUAUAUAAUAGGAGAAUAGACUACUUCAACUCUUUUUAAUAUGUUGAUUUGUUUGUUUCAAAUAUCAACUCCAAGAAAUUACUUAAACAAGAGCCAUAUCAAAUUAAAAGCAGCUUAGAUCUUUGUUAACACACGCUUUACAAAGCCAAAAAAGCCAACAAUUAAAUAAUCUCAUUAUUCUGAUUCUGAUCCUACAAUUUGCUAUUAAAAACUUUUUUUUCAAUCAAACUAUAUGUUGAAUGUAUUUAGUAUUAUGAACAAUUUAAUUGAAAAAUCUAGCACGCUGCUUCAAUAUCAUAUUGCAUCUUAGUCUAAAAAUUUUCGUCCUCAAUAUCAUAUCUGAUGCAUUAUUUUUAUUAAAAAAAAUGAAAAAAAAAAAACCCAUACAAGUUUUAAUAAAAAUAAGAAAAUUAUCUGGGAACCAGUAAAAUGUAGAAAGUACAUGUAACCACCAAUGAUUUUUGACCGUAGCUCUCAACAACCUAUAGUUUGCAACUUGUAUAAGUCAACCACUGUUCUGAGAAUUCGGUUAACAUCUGUCAAUAAUAUUUUGUUAAAAGAUCAAUUUGCCUUUGAUAUUGUUUAAAUAUGUUGAAAAACAGUUUAAUUUAUCCAUUGAAGCAAGCUUCCAAAUUCGAAAAUUGAAAACAGUAGAUGUUUUUGAAGGCGAGAAAGAAAAAAAGAAAAGAAAAGGAAACCAGUUAACUAGGACAAAAAGAAAUAGAACAAGCUUGCGCUCGGUUAGCUAGAGAAUCUGUCAAGACGACAAUUCUAUAUUAAAUGAGUAAAUCAAACUUAUUGGCUAUUAUAACUAAACUAAACUAUUCUACUAGUUUUAGAAUAUAUGUGACAGCAUCAGUUCUUAUUGUUCCCUGUCAAUGAUUUCGGUUAACUUUAACAAUUGCAAAUUGCUGCCUUCAAUGCAAAGAUUCGGUUGGAGGUCAAGUAUGUUUAAUCUAUCGUAUUAAUUUUAAUAGUUUGAUGCAUGAAAUCAUGGAGGCGUUUGUUUACCUCUAACCUUAAUUUUGAUGCUCGGAGGAAACUACUUUGGAAGCCUGAUACAACCUUCCACAUUCAGCUGGAUCAACCGGAUUAUUUACGAGAAGGGCAGCCCAUCGAUGAGUCUAAUUGUGUGCAGCCCAUGAAGGAAGCCUCAUCACAAGUUGUAGUAGAAGUAGCUCGUGAGGAAGGGUAUACCAGCACAAGAGUGAGAAGACCCCUGGGUGGUUUAAAGAUUAUGUCGUAUAGUGAAAUUGAUAGAGCUUUAUAUUUUGCUGGUUUAUGUUGCUGUCAUAUUUUCUGUUACAAAGUUAUGCUGAACUGUAUUCUUUUAAAGGCCAACAGACAGAGGAGUAUAUGUAUAGCAUAACUAAUUCGUGCAAAAGGAAUGCAGAAUGAAUCAUUUCUUUUUAACUUUUCUCUAUUCUUCUCUCACUCUCCAUCUCUCUCCCCACUCUUGCUCAUCUUUGUGAAUUUCUUUUGGAGUCAGCCCUCACUCGAAGAGUGCCAAUUUAUCGAUACAACCUUGGUUGCAGAGAGGUGUAUCAGUGGUGCUUUCAUUGCUAUCGUUAUGACGGAUUCUGACCUUUUAAAGACGAUCCAAGAAUAGUUCCAGAGCCAAACAUUGUCCUCACAUCAAACGCUGCAACAGUAUAUGGCCACGGUGGAUUCUCGCCUUAAUGAUUUGCGUUCACAGAUCCAUGGGUCUUCCAAUCACUCGGGUCGGGUUCCUAAUCCACCACACCCAACCUCUUCUUCGACUGAGGUAAAUUCCAGUGGUAUUGAGCUGUCCCCUGUGCCCCGUUCUAUGAAGAUGGAGGUUCCUAAGUUUGAUGGAUCUGACCCAAACGGGUGGGUUUUUCGAAUUGAGGAAUUCUUUGAUUUCCACGGGACACCGGAAACUCUUCGUUUGCGAAUUGUUUCUUUUCAUAUGGAAGGACGGGCGUGAAAUAUAAGUGUGCAACCCAAGAGGGGGGGUGAAUUGGAAAUUUAAAAAUUAUCCUAGCAAAUCCACACAACAAGCAAUCUAAUGUCUUAAUAAAAAUUGAAAGCAAUAAGUUCAAUAAAGGCACAAUAAUUAAAAGAGUAAGGGAAGAGAAAAACGAACACAAUGAUUUUUACGUGGUUCGGCUAUCCCCGCCUACGUCCAUGCCUCCAAGCACACCGGGCUUGAGGAUUUCACUAUCCAAGCCUUUCCAAGGCUUCAACAAUUAUAAUUGACUUCGAGGUGUCAAUAAACCUUUACAACAAAGAGAUUAUCUCCCAAUCUCUUUACUCAAGUGUCUCACACACUCAAACUCUUACAAAUGAAAUGAAGAAAUGAAAGUUAUAAUCAAACUCACUCAAUGAGUAGAUAUUCAAAGAUGAAGAACAAUGAAUGAUUCAAUGUUUUGUGUUUUGCAAGUUGUAAGCUCAAGAUAUCAUGUGUGCCUUUUGUUUUUGCUUGUUGGAGAGCUUCAAAAUGAGUUGGAUUUGAGUUCUUAUAGCUUGAGCUCGAAAACUAGCCGUUACUCACAUUCUGGGCUAUCCGGUUUGCCGUUUUAUGGAAUCCGGUAAGCCGAAUUUAUGUUACCGUUUAGGCAAAAUUCAAAAUUUUGCCUAACCGGUUUGCCGGAUUCAGGAAUCCGGUAAGCCGUUUUCGUUUUGGUGCUUACUGCCCGUAUCCGGCUUGCCGUUUAUCAGUAUCCGGUAAGCCGCUUGCUACAGUAACUACUACAGUAAAAUAUUUCCCAAAAUUUACUGUUUGACCCCAAAACUUUAUAAAACUGUAGUAUAACCCAAAACGUUAUGAAACUUUUCAAAUAAGUCCAAUUUCAGAAUUUCUAAAUAAUUCUUCGUUAACCCCAAACUUUCUGAAAUUAUGACUUCGCCCAAACUUUGUGAAAUUAUAGAAUGGCCCAAAAAUAUUUAAAUAAUUUCAAAUAGGUCCAAAUUCGAAAUUUCAAGCACUACUUAUUUAUUUCAAAGUUUUCAAAAUUCUUUCAAUUAAACCAUAAACUUUGAAAAACAACCAAUUUCAUAAAAUCAUUUUUCCAUUAAAUAUGAAACAUUUAUAAUGUGAACAUAAUGAUUUAUUUAAAAAGAAUAAAAACAAUCAAUUUCAUAAAAUUAUUUUUCCAUUAAAUAUAAAACAUUUAUAAUAUGAAAAUAAUGAUUUAUUUAAAAAGAAUAUUAAAUAAUUUGAGCUUAAAAGAUUAAUCAUUCUUAAUCUUAUUUGUUAUCAUCAAAAUCAAUAUUAUGGAAACAUAUAUGUUAACAGAGCGGCAGCGUGGUAUCAAUGGAUGAAAAUGAACAGCUUGCUUACAACAUGGAAAGAAUUUUUGCAGAACCUUAAACAUCGUUUUGGUGCCUCCCUCUAUGACGAUCCUCAAGGAAAUUUGUCUAAGUUAUCCCAAACUACAACAGUGGCAGAAUUUCAGACCUCUUUUGAAGAUUUAAUGAAUCGCGUGACUGGAAUUUCAGAACCGCUUCUGAUAAGUUUUUUUAUCACGGGAUUGAAAUCCGAUAUUCGUCGUGAGUUACUUUUUGUUCGACCUUCUUCUCUAAUGGAAGCCUUUGCACUAGCUCGUGCCUAUAAAGCCUGUGCUGAAGAAGCCAAACAAGGACACCGUUUUUUGCCAAAAUGGAACACCAUGUCACCUACUCAUACCACAACAUUCCCGUUACCCAAAUUUCAGCCUAACACAUAUCUCAUUGCUUCAACCCAGCCUCACCAUUCCACUGGUAUGGCCCAAACCAUAUCUCACUCCCACAAUACUUCCCCACCCCCGAAACCAAACACAUUACCACCACUUCUACCCACGCCCAACUUACCGAUUCGCCGCCUUACUCCAGCAGAGCUACGUGACAAGCGUGAGAAUGGAUUGUGUUAUAACUGCGAUAAAAAAUAUAGUGCUAAUCAUCAUUGUCGCAGUAAGUUUUUGCUUCUCAUGGGUACUGAUGAUAAUGAACUUCCUUCUUGUGAACAAGAGUUGCCACCGGAUCCUGUCGAAUAGGUCAUAAUAGGGGAUAUUUCCAGUUUGAAUGCUUUGGCGGGUCAAAUCAAUCCCCGCUCACUCCGUUUAGUUGGCAAAGUUGGUUCUCACAGUUUUCAAGUAUUGAUCGAUAGCGGAAGUACCCACAACUUUAUCAAACCAGCAGUGGCAAAGCGUUUGGGCUUACCGAUACAGCCAACAGCAAAUUUCUGUGUUUAUAUUGGCAAUGGGGAUUUUCUAGUGUGCAAAUAUGUUUGCCCUCAAGUUGCUCUCACGAUGCAGGGAACAGUCUUCACUUUGGACCUCUUUGUUCUGCCCAUUGAGGGGCCUGAUGUGGUGUUGGGAAUACAAUGGCUGCAACUCUUGGGACGUGUCUCUCAUGAUUACUCUGCCCUCUCUAUGGAAUUUUGUUGGAAUGGGGCACCAGUGACUCUUCGCAGCGAACUAUCCACUACUCCCUCCCUAAUCACCUUUCAUCAGUUGCAAUCUCUAGUCCACAUUGCUGAUAUUUAUAGUUUGUGUGCUCUGCAACAGGUACCUGUACCCGGGGAGGAAUCGGAAAGCAAUCCCAAGAGUUCUUCCUUCGAAUUACCUCCACAUUUAACCACACCCUUUGUUGAUCUUCUACACACCUACCGCAACUUAUUUCUUCCACCUACUACCCUGCCACCACAUCGCACAAUUGAUCACAGAAUCCACCUCCUCCCCAACACCACUCCCAUAAAUGUGCGCACAUAUCGCUACCCCCAUUCCAAAAAAAUGAGAUGGAAAACUUGAUCCGUGAAAUGUUAGAACAAGGCAUCAUUAAACCAAGUCAAAGUCCAUUUUCGUCACCGGUCUUGUUGGUAAAAAAAAAAGAUGGGACCUAUCGUUUCUGUGUUGAUUAUAGGGCUUUGAAAGCCGCCACCAUUAAAGAUAAAUUCCCCAUUUCGACUAUCGACGAAUUAUUCGAUGAAUUAGGCGGGGCAGCAAUCUUUAGCAAGUUGGAUUUACGGGCUGGUUACCAUCAGAUUCGCGUGCACCACCGAGACAUUUAUAAAACGGCUUUUCGCACUCAUGAGGGCCAUUACGAGUUCCUCGUCAUGCCGUUUGGGUUAACAAACGCGCCUUCUAUCUUUUAAGCUACUAUGAACCAGAUUUUCGCUUCCUUUUUGCGUAAAUUUGUGAUUGUUUUUUUUUAUGACAUUUUGGUUUAUAGUGCUACAGCAGAGGAACAUUUGCGGCACCUUCAGCAAGUCUUGUGGUGCCUUCAUUUUCACCAAUUCUUUGUCAAGCUAUCCAAAUGCUUGUUUUGCCAAGACGCUAUCGAUUACCUGGGCCACAUUGUUUCAGUCUCUGGUGUGCGAGCCGAUCCUCAAAAAAUUGCAGUUAUGGUUCGUUGGCCAACUCCUCAGACUACUAAAAAACUUCGAGGUUUUUUGGGUUUGACAGGUUAUUACCGGCGGUUUAUCCGCGGAUAUGCAUCUUUAGCAACCCCACUUACUGAUUUGCUUUGUAAAGAUGCCUUCCAGUGGACACCAGCAGCAGCUGACGCAUUUGAAGCUCUUAAGAGAGUAAUGGUGGAAGCCUAUGUGUUACGGCUACCAGAUUUUGACUCCGACUUCAUUCUUGAGAUUGACGCCUCUAAUGUGGGUAUCGGGGCUAUGCUUAUGCAAUCGGGGCACCCCAUAUCUUAUUUCAGUAAGAAAUUAGGUCCUCGACUUCGGGCUUCUUCUACCUACAUCAAGGAAUUAACCGCUAUUGUUGAAGCGGUGCACAAAUGGCGACAAUACUUAUUGGGCAGAUUUUUUGUAAUUCGAACUGACCAUAAGAGCAUUAAGGAACUUCUCCAGCAGGUAGUUCAAACUCCGGAUCAGCAAGUCUACAUCAGAAAAUUACUAGGCUAUCACUUCCGCAUUGAGUAUAAAUCAGGUUGUACCAAUCUUGCAGCCGACGCCUUAUCACGAAUUCAUGACGAGGCUGGUGAGGUAACACCAACAGUGACUGCUUCUUGUUUUCCCCUCCUUAGUCACUCGUCGUUUGAGUUGUUAGCAACUCUAACAAUAGAUAAUUCCACACUUCUAGAAAUGAUUGAUCUUCAUCAGCAGUUUGCUGCGGGGUCUCUUUCACGGGAUUAUUCGCUGCAUAAUGGGGUCUUUUUUUAUCGCAAUCGUUACUAUAUGAGUCCAUCAUCAUCCUUGAAAGCAGUUCUAUUGGCUGAAUUCCACUCUACUACACUUGCAGGGCAUGUAGGCAUCAAACGCACGCUGGUCCGCUUGGCAUCUAAUUUUUUUUGGCCUAAAAUGCGUAUGGACGUUGAGCGAUUCGUGGCCGAAUGCCUUGUGUGCCAACAAACUAAAUAUUCUACUCAAGCACCAGCCGGUCCACUGCAGCCGCUUCCUAUCCCCACUUUAGUUUGGGACGAACUCACUAUGGAUUUCAUUACUGGCCUUCUAGUUUCCCGAGGUUUCACGGUGAUAUUAGUAGUGGUUGAUCGCCUUACGAAAUCAGCACACUUUGGAUCCCUGCUCACUCAAUUUACAGCAGUGAAGACUGCCGAAUUAUUCGUGGAUAUGGUAAUAAAGCUUCAUGGAUUUCCGACUUCUAUUAUUUCCGAUCGCGACCCUAUGUUCUUGAGCACUUUUUGGAAGAAGUUAUUUGAGUUAAGUGGCACUACCCUUCGACACAGUACAGCCUAUCACCCACAAACAGAUGGGUAAUCGGAGGUUGUCAAUCGCGGCUUUGAGCAAUAUCUUCGCGCUUUCACCCAAGACAAACCACACUCAUGGGUAUCUCUACUUGGGUGGGCUGAGUUUUCCUACAAUUCUACUUAUCACAGCAGCAUCAAAAUGUCUCAUUUUCAAGCUCUUUUUGGGCGACCACCUCCAGCAAUUCCUCCUUACUCGAAGGGCUCUACUUCAAUCCAAGCUCUUGAUAAAGCAUUAAGUGAACAGGAUGCCUUACUUCGUACCUUGAAAGAGAAUUUGCGUCAAGCUCAACAUGGCAUGAUUCAAAAGGCUAAUGCACAUAGACGCGAAGCUCAGUUUGCUGUUGGGGACCAGGUUCUAGUGAAGCUUCAGCCAUACCGCCAAAAUACAGUGGCAUCUCGUUCUUGUCAAAAGCUAGCUAAACGGUAUUAUGGCCCAUUUCCUGUACUCGCUCAAGUUGGCCCUGUAGCUUAUAAGCUUGCCUUGCCCAGUGGUUCCAAGAUUCAUCCAGUGUUUCACAUAUCACUUCUCAAACCCUUUCUUGGUUCUCAUACACCUGAUCACCAUUCCUUGCCAUCAACUAGUGUGGACAAUCAGCCAUUAUAUCUCCCUGCUGCAGUUUGCGCUAUUAGAACCGUGCUUAAACAAGGAACGAGAUGUCGCCAAAUUCUGGUUCAAUGGCAGGCCAGUUCGCCUGAAGAUUCUACUUGGGAAGAGUUCGACACCUUCUGUAAACUUUAUCCCGAUUUUCACCUUGAGGACAAGGUGGAUUUUGAAGCUGGAGGGGAUGAUACAACCUUCCACAUUCAGCUGGAUCAACCGGAUUAUUUACGAGAAGGGCAGCCCAUCGAUGAGUCUAAUUGUGUGCAGCCCAUGAAGGAAGCCUCGUCACAAGUUGAAGUAGAAGUAGCUCAUGAGGAAGGGUAUACCGGCACAAGAGUGAGAAGACCCCCUGGGUGGUUUAAAGACUAUGUCGUAUAGUGAAAUUGAUAGAGCUUUAUAUUUUGCUGGUUUAUGUUGCUGUCAUAUUUUCUGUUAUAAAGUUAUGCUGAGUUGUAUUCUUUUAAAGGCCAAAAGACAGAGGAGUAUAUGUAUAGCAUAGCUAAUUCGUGCAAAAGGAAUGCAGAAUGAAUAAUUUCUUUUUAACUUUUCUCUAUUCUUCUCUCACUCUCCAUCUCUCUCCCCACUCUUGCUCAUCUUUGUGAAUUUCUUUGGAGUCAGCCCUCACUCGAAGAGUGCCAAUUUAUCGAUACAGCCUUGGUUGCAGAGAGGUGUAUCAAAGCCUUAUACAAAUUUUUAGCGUCUAAGCAUGAUCUCAAAUUUAUUUGGAGUUCGGCGGCUUCUAUCCAACUAAAGAAGUUAAAAUUUCCCAAAAUCUUCUGUCUCAUAACUUUUAUGGGCCAAAAAAAUCAAAUUAGAAAUUCGAUCACAUUCCCCACCUUGUUGAUUAUAAAAGGAUAGAGAUUAUAAAAUUAAUUUAAAUCUUGCUCACUCUCUACUUCUCAUAAAAAUAAAAUAUAAAAACUACAAAAAUUAAUUGAUAAAAAAUUAUUUUUUUCCCCUUGGCAUAAAAAGGUUGCAUAUUGCUCAGAUAACUAUUAGUUUGAACGCACAAAGAUUCAAGGGUGGAGAUUUUUUUACUUUCCAAUCCAAUGGACAGAACCCUCUAUUGUAGAAAUUUCCAUUUUCUCAUAGCAUACCGAUGAACUGACAGUGGAGAUCCUAGAAACUAAUAAGCAAGCAAGAGAAGACAAACAGAAAAGUGAAAAAAAAAAAAAAAAUCUCCUUUGAUCAUGCAUGUUAUUUGAUCAUGGCCAUUCUUAUAAUAUAAUUACAACAAAAUAAUUCUAAUAUGAAUACGAGUAAAAAGCUUUACGAGCCUGAUCACUGUAUCGAGGACAAGAAUAUUGACUUCUCGAGUGAAAGUCACACGCCAUCUAGGCACUCUUAAGGUACAUUUAAGAUUUAGGUUGGUAAAUUGUAACUUAAAAGUUGCAACACUAAAGUAUUUGGUAAACACUAACUGCUAUAACUUGUAAGCUAUGUUGAUAUGAUUUUUCACUUGUAUAAUAAAAAUUAUUAUAUCUUUAAUAAUUUUGUCAAAAUUAUUAUGUAAAAUUUAUAUUUACUAUAUAUUAUUAAGUUUUGUUUGAUAGUUAUAGUUGUUUUCUACAGCAGCAGUAGCUUAAAAGGUACAACACAUCAAUCCUAAAUGAACCUUAGCAUCAUAGUUGUGCAGCUGUAGCUUCGGUUAUAGUACUUGUGUUUGGUUUGAAGAAAUGAAAGAAAAUAAGAUGAGAGAAAAGGAGGAGAGGGUAAAUAAAUAAGGAGAAAAAAAGAUGAAUUUUGUGUCAAAAUAAACAAUAAAAUUGAGAUUGAUUUUUUUUUUUAACCUCAUUUCCUCUUGAGCAUAUAUGUUGGACUUAUAAAUUUAUGUUUGGAUGUAAAUUGUUUGAUAAAUUCCUAUUGUUGUGGUUUGGAAAUUAGGUUAAUUUGAUUUAACAUUUAUAUAAUAAAUCACUUACAGUAUCUUUAUUAUAUUUUUAUCGAAACUUUUAUUUAAAAGUUAUAUUUAUUAUAUACUAAUAACUUUUAUUUCAUGAUGAUAGAUGCAACACUUCAAAACCAAAAUAAGACCAUAUAUUUUUAUAACUUCUCUUAUCAGAAUAUGAAUGUUGCUUGCACGCAUUAACAAUUCCACUAGUUGCCGGUUCAUAAUUAUCACGUCAACUCUUAAAAAAAGGGCGCACUGCCGGUUCAUAAUUAUCUGCACAAAGUACAUUAUUCUAGCAUUAAAUUUUAAAUAUCUUUCAGUGCCUUUAAAAAUUAAACAUUCAAACUACGUAGUUAUAUUGUCAGAAAGCCAAAACAAUGAGACGUUCUUUUUGGUUCAUUAUCUUUCCCGGUUGCAAAGGCCAGGUUACGUAACAAUUUAAAUAAUCUGUACGCGCUAUCCGAAUUCAGAAAGUCAACAAACCUCAUCGAUUUGCCAAUUCUUUGGCAUUAAUAUUUUACUUAAUUCAAAGUAAUGUUAAUCACGCUUUCAGGCUCCAAGGAUUAGAGGAGAAAAAAAAGAUGAAUUUUGUGUCAAAAUAAACAAUAAAAUUGAGAUUGAUUUUUUUUCUAACCUCAUUUCCUCUUGAGCAUAUAUGUUGGACUUAUAAAUUUAUGUUUGGAUGUAAAUUGUUUGAUAAAUUCCUAUUGUUGUGGUUUGGAAAUUAGGUUAAUUUGAUUUAACAUUUAUAUAAUAAAUCACUUACAGUAUCUUUAUUAUAUUUUUAUCGAAACUUUUAUUUAAAAGUUAUAUUUAUUAUAUACUAAUAACUUUUAUUUCAUGAUGAUAGAUGCAGCACUUCAAAACCAAAAUAAGACCAUAUAUUUUUAUAACUUCUCUUAUCAGAAUAUGAAUGUUGCUUGCACGCAUUAACAAUUCCACUAGUUGCCGGUUCAUAAUUAUCACGUCAACUCUUAAAAAAAGGGCGCACUGCCGGUUCAUAAUUAUCUGCACAAAGUACAUUAUUCUAGCAUUAAAUUUUAAAUAUCUUUCAGUGCCUUUAAAAAUUAAACAUUCAAACUACGUAGUUAUAUUGUCAGAAAGCCAAAACAAUGAGACGUUCUUUUUGGUUCAUUAUCUUUCCCGGUUGCAAAGGCCAGGUUACGUAACAAUUUAAAUAAUCUGUACGCGCUAUCCGAAUUCAGAAAGUCAACAAACCUCAUCGAUCUGCCAAUUCUUUGGCAUUAAUAUUUUACUUAAUUCAAAGUAAUGUUAAUCACGCUUUCAGGCUCCAAGGAUUAAUAUAAAUAGAUCCAUCAUCUUCCUUUAAAUCAACAACUAAAGACUACUUGCAGCCAUUAAUUGUGUAAAUUUAGAUUUUAAUCACAACCAUGAUUUCUUCUUCAUCAACGUCACUCAUUGGGCUGCUAUGCUGCCUGAUAGUGUUAUUGAUUCUCCCUUUCCCUUCCCAUGCAAGUGACCCUGAUCCUUUACAAGACAUCUGUGUUGCGGAUUUGAAUGCUUCCGGCUCUAUUAAUGGUUUCCCCUGCAAACCUGAGUCAGAAGUAACUUCUGAUGAUUUCUUCACGGAUUUUUCCAAAGAAGCAGCUACUUUUGAUGUCUUUAAACGUGGAGCUACACUCGGUGAUGUUUUUGGCUUUCCAGUGGUCAAUACUCAAGGAGUUUCACUCUUCCGAAUUGACUUGGGUGUCGGUGGAAUAAACCCGCCUCAUACACACCCUCGUGGAACCGAGGCUGGUAUUGUUACUAGAGGAAAGGUGCUCGUAGGUUUAGUAACAACUAAUAAUACCUUUUUCUCAAAGGUUUUGACUCCCGGGAUGGUAUUCUUAAUUCCUAGAGCAAUGAUUCACUUCCAACUAAAUGUUGGAAAAGGGCCGGCCACAUUUAUACCUAUUUUCAAUACUCAAAAUCCUGGCGUUUCGGACUCACUCACUACUCUUUUUGACACAACACCUCCAAUUCCCGAUGAAGUGUUAACCAAAUCUUUCCGAGUAAGUGAUGAAGUGAUUAAUGUGAUCAGAGCAG